RNAcentral lists this ribosomal RNA (860 nucleotides) under Pseudoalteromonas sp. C15. RNAcentral's name for it is "bacterial SSU rRNA". It matches the Rfam family "Bacterial small subunit ribosomal RNA", at positions 583 to 1445 of the family's 1533-position model. The record is from RNAcentral. Lineage: Bacteria; Pseudomonadati; Pseudomonadota; Gammaproteobacteria; Alteromonadales; Pseudoalteromonadaceae.
UUAAGCGAGAUGUGAAAGCCCCGGGCUCAACCUGGGAACUGCAUUUCGAACUGGCAAACUAGAGUGUGAUAGAGGGUGGUAGAAUUUCAGGUGUAGCGGUGAAAUGCGUAGAGAUCUGAAGGAAUACCGAUGGCGAAGGCAGCCACGUGGGUCAACACUGACGCUCAUGUACGAAAGCGUGGGGAGCAAACAGGAUUAGAUACCGUGGUAGUCCACGCCGUAAACGAUGUCUACUAGAAGCUCGGAGCCUCGGUUCUGUUUUUCAAAGCUAACGCAUUAAGUAGACCGCCUGGGGUGUACGGCCGCAAGGUUAAAACUCAAAUGAAUUGACGGGGGCCCGCACAAGCGGUGGAGCAUGUGACUAAUCUUUGCAACGCGAAGAACCUUACCUACACUUGACAUACAGAGAACUUACCAGAGAUGGUUUGGUGCCUUCGGAAACUCUGAUACAGGUGCUGCAUGGCUGUCGUCAGCUCGUGUUGUGAGAUGUUGGGUUAAGUCCCGCAACGAGCGCAACCCCUAUCCUUAGUUGCUAGCAGGUAAUGCUGAGAACUCUAAGGAGACUGCCGGUGAUAAACCGGAGGAAGGUGGGGACGACGUCAAGACAUCAUGGCCCUUACGUGUAGGGCUACACACGUGCUACAAUGGCGCAUACAGAGUGCCGAGAACUCGCGAGAGUAAGCGAAUCACUUAAAGUGCGUCGUAGUCCGGAUUGGAGUCUGCAACUCGACUCCAUGAAGUCGGAAUCGCUAGUAAUCGCGUAUCAGAAUGACGCGGUGAAUACGUUCCCGGGCCUUGUACACACCGCCCGUCACACCAUGGGAGUGGGUUGCUGCAGAAGUAGAUAGUCUAACCCUAGG